CAAGAAAGAUCUUAGUUUUCAGCCACUGAGUGACCCUGACGAACUGAUCGAGAAUUGGAAGUCCAUUCUUUUUCACAUUACAGGUGUGCACAGUUGGAUUGAAGAAGGAAAGCCGAAAAAAUGUGGACACAAUGAUCUCAGUCCGGAACAGCAACGAAGAAAAAAAUGGCUUGGAAAAGA
Long non-coding RNA from Sinocyclocheilus rhinocerous, 180 nucleotides. RefSeq lists it as uncharacterized. NCBI's taxonomy places the organism in Eukaryota, Metazoa, Chordata, Actinopteri, Cypriniformes, Cyprinidae. The transcript has 3 exons. The record is from RefSeq and is a predicted model, not a curated record.